This is a non-coding RNA of Solanum tuberosum (potato), 95 nucleotides long. Lineage: Eukaryota; Viridiplantae; Streptophyta; Magnoliopsida; Solanales; Solanaceae. The record is from Rfam.
AGGUUAUUGAAUUGCAGCCAAGGAUGACUUGCCGGCAAGCUCGAUCAAUUCUGCUUCAUGUCUGGCAAGUCAUUUUUGGCUACAUAUCUGCCUCA